GGCAGCAGUGGGGAAUCUUCGGCAAUGGGGGGAACCCUGACCGAGCAACGCCGCGUGAGUGAAGAAGGUUUUCGGAUCGUAAAGCUCUGUUGUAAGAGAAGAACGUUGAGUAGAGUGGAAAGUUACUCAAGUGACGGUAUCUUACCAGAAAGGGACGGCUAACUACGUGCCAGCAGCCGCGGUAAUACGUAGGUCCCGAGCGUUGUCCGGAUUUAUUGGGCGUAAAGCGAGCGCAGGCGGCUCUGUAAGUCUGAAGUUAAAGGCAUUGGCUCAACCAAUGUUCGCUUUGGAAACUGCAGGGCUUGAGUGCAGAAGGGGAGAGUGGAAUUCCAUGUGUAGCGGUGAAAUGCGUAGAUAUAUGGAGGAACACCGGUGGCGAAAGCGGCUCUCUGGUCUGUAACUGACGCUGAGGCUCGAAAGCGUGGGGAGCAAACAGGAUUAGAUACCCUGGUAGUCCACGCCGUAAACGAUGAGUACUAGGUGU
Molecule: ribosomal RNA, 484 nt
Filed under: uncultured Bacillota bacterium
Lineage: Bacteria; Bacillati; Bacillota
Description: bacterial SSU rRNA
Rfam family: Bacterial small subunit ribosomal RNA
Source: RNAcentral